This 487-nucleotide ribosomal RNA is filed under the name uncultured Sphingobacteriales bacterium. Its description in RNAcentral is "bacterial SSU rRNA". It matches the Rfam family "Bacterial small subunit ribosomal RNA", at positions 897 to 1382 of the family's 1533-position model. Lineage: Bacteria; Pseudomonadati; Bacteroidota; Sphingobacteriia; Sphingobacteriales. The record is from RNAcentral.
AAACUCAAAGGAAUUGACGGGGGCCCGCACAAGCGGAGGAGCAUGUGGUUUAAUUCGAUGAUACGCGAGGAACCUUACCUGGGCUCGAACGUAAGAUGACUGUAGGUGAAAGCUUACAUCUCUUCGGAGCAUUUUACGAGGUGCUGCAUGGCUGUCGUCAGCUCGUGCUGUGAAGUGUUGGGUUAAGUCCCGCAACGAGCGCAACCCCUGCAUUCAGUUGCCAUCGGGUAAUGCCGGGCACUCUGGAAGGACUGCCAUCGACAAGAUGGAGGAAGGUGGGGAUGACGUCAAGUCCUCAUGGCCUUUAUGACCAGGGCUACACACGUACUACAAUGGCCGGCACAGCGGGAAGCGGAGGGGCGACCCUGAGCGGAUCCCUUGAAAGCCGGUCCCAGUUCGGAUUGCAGUCUGCAACUCGACUGCAUGAAGUUGGAAUCGCUAGUAAUCGCGGAUCAGCCAAGCCGCGGUGAAUACGUUCCCGGGCCUU